UGAGGCUAAGCAGCUUAAUCUAACAGCUCAGAUUUGUGGUUUAUUUAUCGCAUUAGACAUUUUCAUUCUUGUUUUUCCUCUUCUUGAAGUUUUCUUCUUCACAUAGCUUACUCUAUUUUGCCUAGAUGUAUCAUGAAUUAACAAGAACAUCAAUUUAUUGCUGUUUCUUAUUCUUCCCGUCUUUAAUACUGUUAAUCUGUCUCCAAAGUGCUGUUUUUGUCCUUUAACUACUCCGAUUGCUUAUUUGUUGUUUCUCAGUCCUUCAAACCAGCACACAAUUUUGAUCCUCCAUUCCCAUUCAUCUUGGUUUUUUGUCUUUUUAAAAGCUCAGAUUAAAUGAGAUUUGACCUUAACAGCCAAAAACCAAUGUUUUAAGGUCCUUAAACUGGCAACAAUACAGCCAUUUUGUCAAAAACAGUAGCACAGGAGCUACAACAGUGAAGACAAAUGCAUAACAUUAAAGCAAAGCCAUUCAAAGAGAAAUUCUACUGUUCUUAUUAAUCAACUGUUUGAUGUUGCAGCCAAGCCAAUCAAAAGAGAAAUGCAACUAAUCUUAUUAAUUUAGCCUUAAAGUCAUCCACAAAAAAAAGCAACUAUUCUUCUUGAUUUAGCUUCUCUUUCGCUGUAAUUACAAGAAAUACUGAAUUCUAUAGAUCCAGAAACUCAAACUAGUACACAAGUCAGACAUAGAUGCAGAAUGAGAUCCACCAAUUCUCAUUCCCCAGCACGUUAAUUGUAUUAAAUCUGUCCGAAUGAAUGCUUAUUUUUUGGUCGGAACCCAAACACAGCCCCACUCUCACUCUGUCCAGAAACUCAUUUGUUUCUUUUAAGUCCAUAUUUAUAUAAAUUACUUAAUAUUAAAAAAUUAAAAAUUAA
This 876-nucleotide unclassified non-coding RNA is filed under the name Hevea brasiliensis (rubber tree). The record is from RNAcentral. Lineage: Eukaryota; Viridiplantae; Streptophyta; Magnoliopsida; Malpighiales; Euphorbiaceae.